GAGAUUAAGCGUCUCAGGACAGCAGGAAAAGCUUUAAACCUUACUGCUAAAUAUUUUCAAACCCUAGGUAUAGCCAAUCUGCAUCAAACGAAAUUCGCAGUGAUUUGAAACGGUCCGAGAAAAAUGCGAGCAGAGGCGAGAAAAACGUGUACAAAAAAUCCAACGGAUGGCCGCAUUGGAAUGUCUUUCCACGCAUAUGGUCCGUGGAUUCAAACACCGAUUCGUGUUUGAAACUAACCUAGCCGUUGAGUGUUCUAGAAUGUUUGAAACGGAAGGAAAAUUCAAAAUUCACAUUUCAAAUUCCAUGGAGCGUGCAAAAGUAUGAUUAUAUAUAACCCUCGACAUUUGUAGACCAGAGGAUGAAGAGGCAAAGCAUAAGAAAAGGCAGGAAAAGGCAGGGAUCAGGAAAUAGAAAUUGAAUGAGGGCAAAAUUCUUCUUGCAGUUGUCAUGGCACUGGCAACAGAUUCAUGGGUGGGUCCAUUUCUAAGAGGCGGCCUUGCUAAGCAUUUCACGACUCCCUCUGAACCUGCUCACAGAAACACAGAGAAACUGCAGUCAUUGAAGUUGAUGUGUUUGGUGAGGUUGAAAUGAAUGAUUACAAAUAGGACCUGGCAUGGGACACAAGAGCCGGUAGGAGUUCAUAGAACCGAUGUAGAGAAGAAGAGAUGGGAAGCUCACAUGUUUGAUCUUAGACAGCCUUCUUGUAUCCCCUUCACUCUAUGGAUUGUUUUUCUGGACUUGUACUUUGCAAGAUUGUCUGCAUCACAUGUGGUUCAGCAAUUCACUGACCUCAUAACACAUACAGCUGCAACGCCCUAUUGGGCUUCUGGGAUACGAUUUUUCUUGGUUUCAGGCCAGCAGAUUUUAUAAAGUAGAGAAUGAAAUAUGUGUAAUACAGAGAAGCUACAAUCAUUGAAGUUUACGAGGUUGACAUGAUCGAUUAAAAUUGAACCUAACCUGGGUGGUAGACAGCAAGCUCACAACAACCCUUCUCUGCAACCUCCUCAAUGAUUGGGUGGCAACAUGUUGCAGCCAAAAAACUGUUGUUUGAUAAGAAGGAUCUUGAGCAGCUUUUUGAAUUAGUCGUUUUCCAUCAUGGUGUAUUAAAAACAGCCAAAGAUGGAAUUAGGCUUGUAUCAUUUCUUUAGUUAUGUUUUGGUCAAGCAUACUGACUUGAUAACAUUGUAACAUGUACAAAUAUAAUGUUUAAUAAAAAAAUUAUUUUGAUUGGAAGGGGUUAAAAACUCCUUCCAAAGACUGAA
This is a long non-coding RNA of Cryptomeria japonica (Japanese cedar), 1263 nucleotides long. RefSeq lists it as uncharacterized. The transcript has 8 exons. The record is from RefSeq and is a predicted model, not a curated record. Lineage: Eukaryota; Viridiplantae; Streptophyta; Pinopsida; Cupressales; Cupressaceae.